GUGGGUAUAGCUCAAAUGGUAGAGUACAUGCUUAGCAUGCACGAAGUCCUGGGUUUGGAUCCCAGUACCUCCA
This 73-nucleotide transfer RNA is filed under the name Camelus bactrianus (Bactrian camel). It matches the Rfam family "tRNA". From Rfam's summary of the family: Transfer RNA (tRNA) molecules are approximately 80 nucleotides in length. Their secondary structure includes four short double-helical elements and three loops (D, anti-codon, and T loops). Further hydrogen bonds mediate the characteristic L-shaped molecular structure. tRNAs have two regions of fundamental functional importance: the anti-codon, which is responsible for specific mRNA codon recognition, and the 3' end, to which the tRNAs corresponding amino acid is attached (by aminoacyl-tRNA synthetases). tRNAs cope with the degeneracy of the genetic code in two manners: having more than one tRNA (with a specific anti-codon) for a particular amino acid; and 'wobble' base-pairing, i.e. permitting non-standard base-pairing at the 3rd anti-codon position. Lineage: Eukaryota; Metazoa; Chordata; Mammalia; Artiodactyla; Camelidae. RNAcentral also lists the same sequence under 3 other names. The record is from Rfam by way of RNAcentral.